GACGGAGGGUGCAAACGUUGUUCGGAAUCACUGGGCAUAAAGAGCACGUAGGCUGCGCGCUAAGUCAGGUGUGAAAUCCCCCGGCUCAACCGGGGAACUGCACCUGAUACUGGCGUGCUCGAGGACGGUAGGGGUGAGUGGAACUCCAGGUGGAGCGGUGAAAUGCGUAGAUAUCUGGAGGAACACCGGUGGCGAAAGCGGCUCACUGGACCGUCUCUGACGCUGAGGUGCGAAAGCUAGGGUAGCAAACGGG
This 253-nucleotide ribosomal RNA is filed under the name uncultured bacterium. RNAcentral's name for it is "partial 16S ribosomal RNA". It matches the Rfam family "Bacterial small subunit ribosomal RNA", at positions 524 to 776 of the family's 1533-position model. RNAcentral also lists the same sequence under 2 other names. The record is from RNAcentral.